Molecule: ribosomal RNA, 274 nt
Filed under: uncultured bacterium
Lineage: Bacteria
Description: partial 16S ribosomal RNA
Rfam family: Bacterial small subunit ribosomal RNA
Source: RNAcentral
AGACGGAGGGUGCAAGCGUUAAUCGGAAUUACUGGGCGUAAAGCGCUCGUAGGCGGCUUGUUAAGUCGGAUGUGAAAGCCCCGGGCUCAACCUGGGAACUGCAUUCGAUACUGGCAGGCUAGAGUAUAGUAGAGGCAAGUGGAAUUCCGGGUGUAGCGGUGAAAUGCGUAGAUAUCCGGAGGAACAUCAGUGGCGAAGGCGACUUGCUGGACUAAUACUGACGCUGAGGUACGAAAGCGUGGGUAGCAAACAGGAUUAGAAACCCUAGUAGUCC